GACGAACGCUGGCGGCGUGCUUAACACAUGCCAGUCGAACGGAAAGGCCCUGCUUUUGUGGGGUGCUCGAGUGGCGAACGGGUGAGUAACACGUGAGUAACCUGCCCUUGACUUUGGGAUAACUUCAGGAAACUGGGGCUAAUACCGGAUAGGAGCACCUGCUGCAUGGUGGGGGUUGGAAAGUUUCGGAGGUUGGGGAUGGACGCGCGGCUUAUCAGCUUGUUGGUGGGGUAGUGGCUUACCAAGGCUUUGACGGGUAGCCGGCCUGAGAGGGUGACCGGCCACAUUGGGACUGAGAUACGGCCCAGACUCCUACGGGAGGCAGCAGUGGGGAAUAGUGCACAAUGGGCGGAAGCCUGAUGCAGCAACGCCGCGUGCGGGAUGACGGCCUUCGGGUUGUAAACCGCUUUCGCCUGUGACGAAGCGUGAGUGACGGUAAUGGGUAAAGAAGCACCGGCUAACUACGUG
This 468-nucleotide ribosomal RNA is filed under the name uncultured bacterium. Its description in RNAcentral is "partial 16S ribosomal RNA". It matches the Rfam family "Bacterial small subunit ribosomal RNA", at positions 28 to 507 of the family's 1533-position model. The record is from RNAcentral.